Molecule: ribosomal RNA, 253 nt
Filed under: uncultured bacterium
Lineage: Bacteria
Description: partial 16S ribosomal RNA
Rfam family: Bacterial small subunit ribosomal RNA
Source: RNAcentral
UACGGAGGGGGCGAGCGUUAUUCGGAAUUAUUGGGCGUAAAGGGCGCGUAGGCGGCUUGAUGUGUCAAAGGUGAAAUCCCUCGGCUCAACUGAGGAACUGCCUUUGAAACUGUCUGGCUUGAGGCCGGGAGAGGGUAGCGGAAUUCCCAGUGUAGCGGUGAAAUGCGUAGAUACUGGGAGGAACACCGGUGGCGACGGCGGCUACCUGGACCGGUUCUGACGCUGAUGCGCGAAAGCGUGGGUAGCAAACAGG